AACGCACCUUGCGCUUCUCGGUAUUCCGAGAAGCAUGCCUGUUUGAGGGUCGUGAGGGAAGGGGGCCUAAGUAGCCCGGACAACUGCCAUCGGGCCGCGAUCACCGUGACCGGAGGUGAAGUUGGAUGUGGAGGGUGCAUCUUGCUGUUGCUGGCUUUCAUUGUCGGCUCCUCUUGAAUCAAUGGAGCCUCGCCCAUGGCGGAGUAACGUCGACGUGAUACCUAUCUACGUUGUCGUGAAAAGCCCGUUUGCGAGCGAGGUUUAACGUGACCAGGAAGAGAGAGGUCCUCUCGAGGCAUCUCAUUCCGCCAAGUCGUAGAUCGACCUCAAAUCAGGCAGGACCACCCGCUGAACUUAA
RNAcentral lists this unclassified non-coding RNA (358 nucleotides) under uncultured Agaricomycetes. Its description in RNAcentral is "sequence contains ITS2". The stretch from base 1 to 52 matches the Rfam family "5.8S ribosomal RNA", at positions 103 to 154 of the family's 154-position model. The record is from RNAcentral. Lineage: Eukaryota; Fungi; Basidiomycota; Agaricomycetes.